UCAUCAUAAUUUGACUCUCCUGACCUAUAGUUUCUAAAGAGUUUUUUACUACUGUAACAUCAUGUAUCUGAUCUCUGUCACAAUGGACAAGUAUACAGGAAAUAUCCAACUUUCAUAUGUUUGCUUCAAAAAGGUUACAGGUUGAAUAGGUCAGCUCUUAUGUUUUUGUUUCUUAACCAGCAUCAACCUAUAUAGCUUGGUGUAAACUUGCCAAGUAUUCAGAGAAUAGUGCUGGUUAAAAUUUAAAUAUGAUAGUCAGGAAGAAAAUAUGAUCUCUAUUGACUGAUGUCCUUUCAAACUAGGACUGAUGUAUAAAAUUCAUUAUCAGUCUGCAAUGCAGAAACAUAUCUAAGAUGUUAAAUAUUGUGUUUCUUGAGAAAUGUGUAAUUUUUCCCUAGAUGUAUCUAGUUACAUUAAGGAUGUAAAUUUUCUUUUGUACAGUAUAAAAUACAGCUUUAUUUGGCUUUUGA
This 470-nucleotide long non-coding RNA is filed under the name Bos taurus (domestic cattle). Its description in RNAcentral is "long non-coding RNA NONBTAT011437". The record is from RNAcentral. Lineage: Eukaryota; Metazoa; Chordata; Mammalia; Artiodactyla; Bovidae.